GGAUAUUGGGCGUAAGGGCUCGCAGGCGGUUUCUUAAGUCUGAUGUGAAAGCCCCCGGCUCAACCGGGGAGGGUCAUUGGAAACUGGGAAACUUGAGUGCACAAGAGGAGAGUGGAAUUCCACGUGUAGCGGUGAAAUGCGUAGAGAUGUGGAGGAACACCAGUGGCGAAGGCGACUCUCUGGUCUGUAACUGACGCUGAGGAGCGAAAGCGUGGGGAGCGAACAGGAUUAGAUACCCUGGCAGUCCACGCCGUAAACGAUGAUUGCUAAGUGUUAGGGGCCUUCCGCCCCUUCUUGCUGCAGCUAACUCAUUACUCCCUCUGCCUGG
This 328-nucleotide ribosomal RNA is filed under the name Bacillus pumilus. RNAcentral describes it as "bacterial SSU rRNA". It matches the Rfam family "Bacterial small subunit ribosomal RNA", at positions 547 to 876 of the family's 1533-position model. The record is from RNAcentral. Lineage: Bacteria; Bacillati; Bacillota; Bacilli; Caryophanales; Bacillaceae.